ACAGGCACUUAUCAUUUGUGAACAGGAACAAGAACUUCAAUUUGAUUUUCAGCUUUAUGGAUUCUGAGGAUUAGUUUCAAUGAGAUUGUCAAGAUUGAUAUGUUUGUCUAUGCUUUUGGAGAUGAGAAUGUAAGACUUGUCAAGGUUGCUCUUAGGAUUGGUGCUGGUAACAUGGUAAAUGCUAUUCUAUGAAAGUUUCACAUAAGGAAAGGAACUCACUUCCAUUGCCAAAUAUACAAGGAGAUGUGCGUCGUGUGUGCUCUUGCAACAAUUUAUUCACAUCUAGUUUGGAUGGUGAGGCGAUGGAUACAGUAUCUUGGACGCGAUAAAAUAGUGAAGUAAUGGUGUGGAACAAUAAUCACUAAUGGUGUGGAACAAUAAUAACCCA
Long non-coding RNA from Impatiens glandulifera, 388 nucleotides. RefSeq lists it as uncharacterized. The transcript has 5 exons. NCBI's taxonomy places the organism in Eukaryota, Viridiplantae, Streptophyta, Magnoliopsida, Ericales, Balsaminaceae. The record is from RefSeq and is a predicted model, not a curated record.